This 654-nucleotide long non-coding RNA is filed under the name Gallus gallus (chicken). RNAcentral's name for it is "long non-coding RNA NONGGAT001330". Lineage: Eukaryota; Metazoa; Chordata; Aves; Galliformes; Phasianidae. The record is from RNAcentral.
CAUUUGCACAGUGGUGCCUUACAGGGUUACAACGAGAGGUUUCUGUGCCUUGUUAGUUGUUGUCUGCCCUUCACCUUCUGUAUCAACUUGAUUCUCUCUGGUUUUCCUUUGAAAAACAUCUUGUAUAUUAAGCUUGUGUUGUACCACACUAGUGAAACAAACGUCACUGACAAUAUAGGAGCAGUUGCAGUAUCAAGAAGGUGCCCAGCACAGCUCAGAACUGUUUCCAAUGGUGUCUCUAACUUCAUAGUUGCUGCACUGACCAAGUGGGAAUAUGAUGGCCCAGACAGAAACUUGCUAUGGCUGAUUCUGCUUCAUUGGCUGCAAGGAUUUGGCACCUGUUGAUUCUGUGCUUCAUUACGAGGAGGUCAUGGACAGCUGCCAAAUCAACGGACUAAGAAAUUAAUUAAGCAACACUGCACUGAGCCUGUGCAUUUUCCACACGCCCAAUUACUAGUGACCUAAAUCGAGGGCAAAAGCCUGGAGUCUGGAGCUCGUUUAGAGAAGUGAUCCUUCCAUAAAACUGCACAUCUCUAUCUUAUGUGGAACGUAUGUCCUAAAAUAAUGUCAGGUAGGGUAAAAGCUAUUAUGAAUCAAGCUGCAACAGUUCGGUGUGUUUCUUACUUACUGUAAGCACGCUGGAGAAGGCCUUUC